UUUUUUUUUUUUUAAAUUUAAUUAACUUCUACUCUGUUUUAUGGCAAUGAAUUGGAGUGACUAUAUAAACCUGUGCAUGGCUAGGUUAAGGAAGACGUAAGCUUGCUCCAAGUUCAAUGUUUGGUUUUAUGUUCUCAACUUCGAAAGAUUAGGACUGGUUCGUUAGAAGAACAUAUCUUAUAAGUUUUAACUCUUAUAUAUAUAUCUUAUGCAUGCAUAUAGAUAUAUAUAUAUAUUUAUUUAUUUAUUUUAUCACACAACACAUGCAUGGUGGUAUAUAAGAAUCUUUUUACCGCAUUUACCUCACACUUCUAAUAAUUUGUCCCAUAUCUUCUCAUAUUUC
Molecule: long non-coding RNA, 343 nt
Filed under: Carica papaya (papaya)
Lineage: Eukaryota; Viridiplantae; Streptophyta; Magnoliopsida; Brassicales; Caricaceae
Description: long non-coding RNA (CPAP_LNC000131)
Source: RNAcentral